Molecule: non-coding RNA, 113 nt
Organism: Acanthosepion pharaonis
Lineage: Eukaryota; Metazoa; Mollusca; Cephalopoda; Sepiida; Sepiidae
Source: the annotation of a GenBank genome assembly
UACGUCCACAUCACGUUGAAACACCGGUUGCCUUUUGAUUACUAAAGUUAAGCAACAUCGAGCCUGGUCAGUACCUAGAUGGGUGACCACUUGAAAAUAUCAAGUGCCGUAAG